GAUGAAGAACGCAGCGAAAUGCGAUAAGUAAUGUGAAUUGCAGAAUUCAGUGAAUCAUCGAAUCUUUGAACGCACAUUGCGCCCGCUAGUAUUCUGGCGGGCAUGCCUGUCCGAGCGUCAUUUCAACCCUCAAGCCCCCGGGCUUGGUGUUGGGGAUCGGCGAGCCUCCGCGCCCGCCGUCCCCUAAAUCCAGUGGCGGUCUCGCUGUAGCUUCCUCUGCGUAGUAGCACACCUCGCACUGGGAAACAGCGCGGCCACGCCGUUAAACCCCCAACUUCUGAACGUUUGACCUCGGAUCAGGUAGGAAUACCCGCUGAACUUAAGCAUAUCAAUAAGCGAGGA
RNAcentral lists this unclassified non-coding RNA (342 nucleotides) under soil metagenome. RNAcentral describes it as "partial contains 5.8S ribosomal RNA, internal transcribed spacer 2, and large subunit ribosomal RNA". The stretch from base 1 to 120 matches the Rfam family "5.8S ribosomal RNA", at positions 35 to 154 of the family's 154-position model. The record is from RNAcentral.